Molecule: unclassified non-coding RNA, 515 nt
Filed under: Hevea brasiliensis (rubber tree)
Lineage: Eukaryota; Viridiplantae; Streptophyta; Magnoliopsida; Malpighiales; Euphorbiaceae
Source: RNAcentral
UGUUCAGGAUAUGCUCCAUCUUCGAAGUAAAACUCAGGCCUGCCACCUUUGGUAGGAUCAAACCCCGGCUUCAUCUUUGGCACGGCACUUGUAAGAAUGAUGAGAGCAUCAAUGCCUUGAAUUGCAGGACCAAGGCUAUCUGCAUCCCUUAUAUCGCCAACAAAAAGAUCGUCUGCUCCACCAAUACUUUGCUUGCUCUCUUCAGUUCUAACCAAACCUCUUGCAACAUACUGAUCUGACCUCUCCUUCAAUUUCUUGUAAACUAGUUGACCGGUUCUGCCACCAGCUCCGGUGACGAGGACGGUGGUGGGACCAGAAUCCGCCAUGGCAACCACGGAGAGAGCACGGACUCGGCGGCUUCUGAAACCCUUCUGGGAGGUCGGGGAAAUGGAAGAGCCAAGGAUUUGAAGUGAAUUAGAAAUGGGAACCAAACAACAUUUAUGGCAUUGACGAAAGGGCAGUGGUGGAGAAGAGGUAGGCUUUAAGGCGGAGUAGACUAAUGGGACACGUGUAAG